CUACGGGCGGCUCCAGUUAGGAAUAUUCGUCAAUGGGGGAAGCCCUGAACGAGCAAUGCCGCGUGAGUGAUGACAGUCUUUUGAUUGUAAAACUCUGUUGUAUAGGAAGAAUUACUAAUAUAGGAAAUGCUAUUAGUUUGACGGUACUAUACCAGAAAGCCCCAGCUAACUACGUGCCAGCAGCCGCGGUAAUACGUAGGGGGCGAGCGUUAUCCGGAUUUAUUGGGCGUAAAGAGUUCGUAGGCGGUUUAUUAAGUCUGUGGUGAAAGACCGAAGCUUAACUUCGGUUUGCCAUGGAAACUGGUAGACUGGAAUACUGUAGAGGCAAGUGGAAUUCCUAGUGUAGCGGUGGAAUGCGUAGAUAUUAGGAGGAACACCAGUGGCGAAGGCGGCUUGCUGGGCAGUUAUUGACGCUGAGGAACGAAAGCGUGGGGAGCGAAUAGGAUUAGAUACCCUUGUAGUC
This 463-nucleotide ribosomal RNA is filed under the name uncultured bacterium. RNAcentral's name for it is "partial 16S ribosomal RNA". It matches the Rfam family "Bacterial small subunit ribosomal RNA", at positions 339 to 795 of the family's 1533-position model. The record is from RNAcentral.